Molecule: long non-coding RNA, 891 nt
Organism: Chinchilla lanigera (long-tailed chinchilla)
Lineage: Eukaryota; Metazoa; Chordata; Mammalia; Rodentia; Chinchillidae
Exons: 4
Source: RefSeq, a predicted model, not a curated record
GCCACCACCCUGCUGCACCCUUUGCUGUGACUCCUGGAACAACUGAGAACCAGGGUCUGAGGAGCAGGGUUCGUGCCUGUUCCCUGCAGUCAUCAAGGUCUGACAAAAUAAGCUCAUGGACUCGGGUUUCUGUAAUGGAAGCCCAAUACUACCCGCUAGCAAGACUUGCUGAGGAAAUUACUCCAACAUAGUGAAGAGGCCGCCAAAAAAAGGAGCAAAAUACAAGUUUUUGAUAUUACAAAAGAACCAAUGCUACCUCUGAACCAAUGCUACCUAGAAAAACUAGAAGGAUUCCAUCCCGAGGACAAGGAGAAUUUCUUAAACACAUAAAGCAGAUGGGAUUUAAUUGGAAAGGAAACCCCACAGAGGGACAUGAUUUUGCAACCAUCAGUGGACAAAAGUGCCUUUGGGUUUUAGGUAGGAGGCUGAGAAAUCCCAGUGGAGGCUAAAACCAAGGAAAGCUUCUUUGGGAAGGCAAGCCCAUGCCCAUGUGGCAGGCUCACCAAUCACAGUCCCAGGUGCAGACUCAGAUACAGUCCCUUCUACUGUGUACUCAGCUCUAGCCUUGCUGUCUGUGGUUCUACCACCAGCAUCACACCCUCAAGAACACAAAAGAAACCAGUGCUCGUCCUAGACCCAGAAGAGCUGCAAUCUUCACCACUACAUUUGAACACUGAUCUCCAGUCUCUUCAGCCAUCCAACACACUCACACCAGUGAUUCUACAGUGACUUUCGAGGCCUUCAACCUUUGACCAGCACUGGAUCCUCUAGCUCUCCAGUACAUAGACGGCCAUUUUGGAUUCCUCUGCUCCUGAUUCUGCAGGCUGCCAUCAUGACUUUUCUGUGUCAGAUUCUAUAAGCCUAUCUAAUAAAUCCCUUUGUGAAAUUCUA